This is a non-coding RNA of Cinara cedri, 550 nucleotides long. The record is from the annotation of a GenBank genome assembly. NCBI's taxonomy places the organism in Eukaryota, Metazoa, Arthropoda, Insecta, Hemiptera, Aphididae.
AAAUUAUGUUCCUUCAAAAGAACACAGGUAAACUAUUUUAGGUACAGAUAUUUGAUGCUACAUGGGAAAUACGACUUAUGUUUGAAUUUAGAAAAAAAAUAGUAGGUAUACUCUAGCUAAUUUAAAACAAAGUAAUGUCCCAUGUUUUCGGGAUUGCAUAGUCAUUCGAUAACUGUUCAAGCAAUUGAAAACGGCAAAUACGUAGUGACACCAUUGACAUAUGCAGGAUCCGGUAAACAAGACGGAAGGUUUAUAAAAUUUUGAAUUCACCAAGAAGAAUAUCAACGCCAUAAUACUCAAAAUACCCAAGUCGAUGAACAGAAAAAUUACAACAAAGUUUAAACAACAACGACGUUUGUUAAAAAAAAUAUUGAAGUGGGUGUACAAGGCAUUCGCUAUAAAUAUUAAACAUUUUAAAGAUGACGCUACAUAAAAAAAAUAAAGAUAUAACAGCCAAGUUAGACGACAUUCGAAAGUCUAUCUCAAGAAUUUAAAUAGCUUGUUUCUGUUAUCAGUAACUCCACGAUUAAAAUACACAUACGAUAAUAUC